This 384-nucleotide ribosomal RNA is filed under the name uncultured organism. RNAcentral's name for it is "bacterial SSU rRNA". It matches the Rfam family "Bacterial small subunit ribosomal RNA", at positions 45 to 433 of the family's 1533-position model. The record is from RNAcentral.
UGCCUUACACAUGCAAGUCGAACGGUAACGCGGGGCAACCUGGCGACGAGUGGCGAACGGGUGAGUAAUACAUCGGAACGUGCCCAGUAGUGGGGGAUAGCCCGGCGAAAGCCGGAUUAAUACCGCAUACGACCUAUGGGUGAAAGCAGGGGAUCGCAAGACCUCGCGCUAUUGGAGCGGCCGAUGUCAGAUUAGCUAGUUGGUGGGGUAAAAGCCUACCAAGGCGACGAUCUGUAGCUGGUCUGAGAGGACGACCAGCCACACUGGGACUGAGACACGGCCCAGACUCCUACGGGAGGCAGCAGUGGGGAAUUUUGGACAAUGGGGGCAACCCUGAUCCAGCCAUGCCGCGUGAGUGAUGAAGGCCCUAGGGUUGUAAAGCUC